UUUCUCUGUAAGUGGAACCAUCGAUGGUUCCUUUUUUUUUUUUUUCUUCUUCUUCUUCUUUCUUCCUUCUACUGAUCUCUCUCUUGAUGGCCGCCGGCAGGGGCAGGUGGUUGGGGGUCGCGCAGACCAGUCGAGUCCACUCCCAAAACUCACCUCUUAACUCAUUACACCCUCUCUUCCUCACCUCCAUUCUCACAUUUCUCCAAUGGCGGCCAGAAAACUUGCUGGAUUUCUGGUACUGGCUUUGGUGAUUACGCUCAUCGAUCUGCUGCUUCUCAGCUUUUCACUCCCGUCGAUGGCUCCUUUCCCAGGUCAAUUUCAGCACUCUUUAAUCUUAAUUUUGUUUCUAUGGUCUGUUAAUACUGUUUCGUAAAAAUGGAAAAUUUUGAACGUUCAAUUUGAAUUAAACAAAAAUAAAAAGACUUUCUUUAUGUACGGGCUUAAGUCGUAAGUUUAUUCAGUUCAAUUUUUGCUUUGAAUGUUUCAGGGUAGUAAUUUGGCAUCUAAUUCUCCUCUGUUGCUGAUAAAUUGUUAUGCUUUUGUUUAUAGGGUUAGGGUUUUUUUUGUUAAGAAGAAGAAGAAGAGAGAGAGAUCAGUAGAAGGAAGAAAGAAGAAGAAGAAAAAAAAAAAAAAAAGGAA
Long non-coding RNA from Cannabis sativa, 639 nucleotides. RefSeq lists it as uncharacterized. NCBI's taxonomy places the organism in Eukaryota, Viridiplantae, Streptophyta, Magnoliopsida, Rosales, Cannabaceae. The transcript has 2 exons. The record is from RefSeq and is a predicted model, not a curated record.